CCUACGGUGUGCUGCAGUGGGGAAUAUUGGACAAUGGGCGAAAGCCUGAUCCAGCCAUGCCGCGUGUGUGAAGAAGGCCUUCGGGUUGUAAAGCACUUUCAGUGGGGAAGAAAGCCUUGGGGCUAAUACCCUCGAGGAAGGACAUCACCCACAGAAGAAGCACCGGCUAACUCCGUGCCAGCAGCCGCGGUAAUACGGAGGGUGCGAGCGUUAAUCGGAAUUACUGGGCGUAAAGCGCGCGUAGGCGGUCUGAUAAGCCGGUUGUGAAAGCCCCGGGCUCAACCUGGGAACGGCAGCCGGAACUGUCAGGCUAGAGUGCAGGAGAGGAAGGUAGAAUUCCCGGUGUAGCGGUGAAAUGCGUAGAGAUCGGGAGGAAUACCAGUGGCGAAGGCGGCCUUCUGGACUGACACUGACGCUGAGGUGCGAAAGCGUGGGUAGCAAACAGGAUUAGAUACCCCUGUAGUC
This 465-nucleotide ribosomal RNA is filed under the name Vreelandella stevensii. RNAcentral's name for it is "partial 16S ribosomal RNA". It matches the Rfam family "Bacterial small subunit ribosomal RNA", at positions 338 to 795 of the family's 1533-position model. The record is from RNAcentral. Lineage: Bacteria; Pseudomonadati; Pseudomonadota; Gammaproteobacteria; Oceanospirillales; Halomonadaceae.